This 235-nucleotide long non-coding RNA is filed under the name Mytilus galloprovincialis (Mediterranean mussel). The record is from RNAcentral. Lineage: Eukaryota; Metazoa; Mollusca; Bivalvia; Mytilida; Mytilidae.
CAAUGUUCUUGUACAAUAUGGAGACGUUAAAAUAAAUGAUCCAACAGCUGAUUCAGUCGGUAACAAAUUUCUGAUAUCAUAAAAGAUUCAUAAUACAAAGGGAACUUCCUCUGCUUAAUUGAGCCCCUAAAUAAAUGUGAACAGUUAAGUUUUAUUCAAAAUUGUCGAAAGCAAAGUUUCAUAUGUGUUCUCGUACAAAUACUGAAUAACAGACGGACGGCUACACGAAAAAAAA